UUUAGCAAGCCUCAUAAGUCGUUCAGAAUCAGUAAAAGUGAAACUUUCUAAAUUCUCAUCUUUGUUAGAAGUAAAUGUAAAAGCAUUAAGCAUACCAAAGCUUCAACAUGUACAACUGACAUUUUUGGAAUUGGCUUUGGAAGGGAAACCUCAAUGCCACCACAAAACAGUUGUAUAUGGUAAUGGAUGGAUUUAAAUAGCAUCGAGAAAGUGAAACUUUCUAAAUGUCCUCAAGGGGAAAAUGGCAUAGUCACUUUCUAUUGAAGAAAUUACUAAAACCAUAUUUCAUUUGGCUGAUGUUCUUGGGAUUUUUCUGAGUGGUUUUCAUUGUUUUUCACUUUGUAGUAGAUAUGGUUUUCAUCUGAGCUUUUAUUUCUUCUUCUUCUUCUUCUUCUUUUUAUGUUGUUGAAGUUCACAUCCUGGAUAGAAGACAAUUCAACUAAUAUAUCUACUGUGUAAGGGUAUGAAUUUGAGCAUGGUAUUGAAUUGUAGAAGCUGCGAAACACUAAAAAUUACUUUCACAGUUAACUGUAUUACCUUUUGGUUUUGUUUUCA
Hevea brasiliensis (rubber tree) is the source of this 555-nucleotide long non-coding RNA. RefSeq lists it as uncharacterized. Lineage: Eukaryota; Viridiplantae; Streptophyta; Magnoliopsida; Malpighiales; Euphorbiaceae. The record is from RefSeq and is a predicted model, not a curated record. The transcript is spliced from 2 exons.